This 462-nucleotide ribosomal RNA is filed under the name uncultured bacterium. Its description in RNAcentral is "partial 16S ribosomal RNA". It matches the Rfam family "Bacterial small subunit ribosomal RNA", at positions 28 to 507 of the family's 1533-position model. The record is from RNAcentral.
GAUGAACGCUGACAGAAUGCUUAACACAUGCAAGUCAUUGGCGAAGCUGCGCUUGCGCAGUCUAGCCAAGGCGGACGGGUGAGUAACGCGUAAGGAACUUGCCCUGCAGACAGGGAUAACAGACGGAAACGACUGAUAACACCUGGUAUUGUCAGGCUGGCGCAUGCCGGCCUGAUGAAAGGAGACGCUGCAGGAGAGCCUUGCGUCCUAUUAGCUAGUUGGUGGGGUAACGGCCCACCAAGGCGAUGAUAGGUAGCCGGCCUGAGAGGGUGAACGGCCACCAGGGGACUGAGAUACGGCCCUUACUCCUACGGGAGGCAGCAGUGGGGAAUAUUGGACAAUGGGGGCAACCCUGAUCCAGCAAUUCUGUGUGCACGAAGAAGGUUUUCGGAUUGUAAAGUGCUUUCAGCAGGGAAGAAGAAAGUGACGGUACCUGCAGAAGAAGCGACGGCUAAAUACGUG